AGUGAACGCUGGCGGUAGGCCUAACACAUGCAAGUCGAACGGCAGCACAGUAAGAGCUUGCUCUUACGGGUGGCGAGUGGCGGGCGGGUGAGGAAUACAUCGGAAUCUACUUUUUCGUGGGGGAUAACGUAGGGAAACUUACGCUAAUACCGCAUAAGACCUACGGGUGAAAGCAGGGGAUCUUCGGACCUUGCGCGAUUGAAUGAGCCGAUGUCGGAUUAGCUAGUUGGCGGGGUAAAGGCCCACCAAGGCGACGAUCCGUAGCUGGUCUGAGAGGAUGAUCAGCCACACUGGAACUGAGACACGGUCCAGACUCCUACGGGAGGCAGCAGUGGGGAAUAUUGGACAAUGGGCGCAAGCCUGAUCCAGCCAUACCGCGUGGGUGAAGAAGGCCUUCGGGUUGUAAAGCCCUUUUGUUGGGAAAGAAAAGCAGCAGGUUAAUACCCCGCUGUUCUGACGGUACCCAAAGAAUAAGCACCGGCUAACUUCGUG
This 492-nucleotide ribosomal RNA is filed under the name uncultured bacterium. Its description in RNAcentral is "partial 16S ribosomal RNA". It matches the Rfam family "Bacterial small subunit ribosomal RNA", at positions 29 to 507 of the family's 1533-position model. The record is from RNAcentral.